CAGCGCCACAAGUGGCAACCAUAGUUAUUGGGCCUAAAGCGUCCGUAGCCUGUUCUGUAAAUCUUCUGUGAAAUCGUUAAGCUCAACUUAACGGACUGCAGAAGAGACUACAGGGCUUGGGACCGGAAGGAGUCAGAAGUAUUUCUGGGGGAGCGGUAAAAUGUUAUAAUCCCAGAAAGACUACCUGUGGCGAAGGCGUCUGACUAGUACGGAUUCGACGGUGAGGGACGAAAGCUAGGGGAGCAAUCUGGAUUAGAUACCCGAGUAGUCC
Molecule: ribosomal RNA, 271 nt
Filed under: uncultured archaeon
Lineage: Archaea
Description: partial 16S ribosomal RNA
Rfam family: Archaeal small subunit ribosomal RNA
Source: RNAcentral